Molecule: long non-coding RNA, 2131 nt
Organism: Equus caballus (horse)
Lineage: Eukaryota; Metazoa; Chordata; Mammalia; Perissodactyla; Equidae
Source: Ensembl
UGAGAAGGGACAGGGCCGGGACCUGGCUGUGGGUCUGCCGGACCCCGGUCCACGGUGCUGCUGAGCCCGGCUUCCGCUAACAGAGCGGCUCCACCGUGGCUAGCGGCUGACCUUGGGCAAGUUAGUUGCCCCUCGAAGCCUCUGUUUCUCCUUCUGUAAAAGGAGACUGACAAUAAUAGGGGGUAGCAGAGCUCGUACAGCCCUUCCCCUCAGGCUCUGCAGGCGCCGACCCCCUGGCUCCUGCCUGCAUGGCGCAGCACGAGCCCUCGCAUCCCGCCACCACAAAUCACGCCACCUCACUCCCGACUCGAGCUUGACAGUGGUUUCCUUCCUGCUCGAAGGGCACGCUGAAGCCCUCUGCGCGGCCGCGGGACCCGCCCUCGCUCGCCCUCCUCCAGCCACACUGGCCUCUGGCUCUUUCUCCAAAGCCCCAAGCCCGCUCUUCUGGGGGCUCCCGCGAGCAGCACCCCCGCGGCCUGGAGUCCCGUUCCCGUGGCUGUGGCUCCUCCCUUCACUUCCUGCGGGUCUCUGUCCAAGCGCCGUCUCCCAGAGAGGCCCCCCCCGGGCCCCAGUUUUAUGUGCCCCCCUCAUUCUCCUUCCCCACCCUGCUUCUCUUCUCACACAGCCCUGGCAUUGCACUCCUCACCUACUGGUGUGUUCGCUCACUGUCUGUCUCCCUCACUAGAUUGCAAACGCCAUGAGGCCAAGGACUUUGCUCACUCACCACCACGUCAGCGGAAGCAGGAUAGUGCCUGACCUGCCACAAGGCACCCAGCAGAUAUUUGUUGAGGGAAUGAAGGAAUGAGUGAAUGAAUGAAUGCAUGCAUGAGUGAAUGAAUGAAUGCAUGACUGAAUGAAUAAAUGAACGAAUGAAAGAAUAAGUGAACGAAUGAACAAAUGAGUGAAUGACAGAAUGGGCGAAUGAAUGAAUGAGCGAAUGAAUGAAUGAGCAAAUGAAUGAAUGAGCAAAUGAAUGAAUGAGUGAGUGAAAGAAUGAGCAAAUCAAAUAAGUGAACAAAUGAGUGAAGGAAAGGAUGAGUGAGGGAAUGAAUGAAUGUGUGAAUGAAUGAGUGAGUGAGUGGGUGAAUGAAUAAAUGAGUGAAUGAAAGAAUAAGUGAAUGAAUGAACAAAUGAGUGAGUGAGUGGGUGAAUGAAUGAAUGACGGAAUGAGGAAUGAAAACCUUUGGGCGGGAAAGGCAUCUCUGACCCUUCCGCUCAUCCUGGCUGCAUCUCCCUCUGAGAGACCGGCCAGGGUGGGAAGGAAUCCUCUGGAAAGUGCUGAAAGGAGGCUCCCCUGUGGCUGCUCAGAGCAGGGAUGGAGCCGCCCGGAAAGGAGCAACUCGGGUGCCUUCCACGCACCAGCUCUGGCUGCCAGCAGCUCGUGUCCCCCCGCCAGCCUCCCCCACUGCCAGGAAUGGAUCGUUUCCUUGCUGCCAAGGGGCCCAUUCAGCUGUCACCACUCCAGGCUGAGAUGCCACCUGCCAGGCAAGACCAGGAGGCCAGGGCCAGUAGGGCACCACCACCAGCUGGGCACCCAGGCUUUACCCAGCGAAGCAGGCAGGAGCCAGGGGCCUCGAGUGCUUUCCCCGCCCUCCAGGAGGGAGACAUGAUUAGGACACAGACACACAGAGGGACGACCGUGUGAAGACGCAGAGGGAAGACAGCUGUCUACAAGCCAAGGGGAGAGGCCUCAGGAUGAAACACCACCAGCACCUUGAUCUUGGCCUUCCAGCCUCCAGAACUGUGAGAAAAGAAAAUUCUGUUGUUUAAGUCACCCAGUUUUGGGUGGCCGGAGCAAACUAAGACUCCAGGCACGGAGCUAGGGCAUAUGUGCCAUUCCAGCUGAUGAGAUGCAAGGGAGGUCUGAUGGGGUGCUUCCAGAAGGUUUUUCUCUCUCUUAAAAAGGAGCAGCAGGAUGAAGGAGCCCACUCGCCUCAGGCCUGUAGACAUUGUUGUUUGAGCACAUUGUGCCGGGAGCUACUGCAGCCAUUUUGCCACCAUGAGGUGAGCAAGGAUGGAUGAACAGAAAGAUGGAGAAACCCUGGGUCUUUGAUGCCAUCACUGAGCAUAAAUUAUUCACCCUAGUGCUGACUUCUAUUUAUAAGAGAAAUAAAGCUUCCUUCCUGUUUAG